Molecule: long non-coding RNA, 378 nt
Organism: Mauremys mutica (yellowpond turtle)
Lineage: Eukaryota; Metazoa; Chordata; Testudines; Geoemydidae
Exons: 5
Source: RefSeq, a predicted model, not a curated record
CUGAGCGGGAUGGAGCUUUGGCCCCGCCGGAGACGCGCUCAGGGCUACAGAAUGUAACCAUUACACAUCAUAACAAUGACUGUACUAACUGCAAGACUGUUCACUUUGACUAUUGGAGCAUCUGCAAACAAAGAUUAAAGGAAUGAGAGUCUGUAGCAGACAAAAUAGGUGAACCAAAGGAAACACUAAAAGGAGUGAAUCAGCAAGAAAGGUACUGGCAGAAAAGCUCAAUAGUGAUGGAAAACAAAGGGAGAACAAAUGCAACAUAAAGGCAUAAGUGGAAAGACCAUGGCAUAGAAAAUAAGUGGUCAAGGCAGCGUCUUCUCCCUUCAAAAGACCCAACUGCUGAUGAGGUAGAAAUCGAAUGGUGUGGUCUCC